UUAAGCGACUAAGCGUACACGGUGGAUGCCCUGGCAGUCAGAGGCGAUGAAGGACGUGCUAAUCUGCGAUAAGCGUCGGUAAGGUGAUAUGAACCGUUAUAACCGGCGAUUUCCGAAUGGGGAAACCCAGUGUGUUUCGACACACUAUCAUUAACUGAAUCCAUAGGUUAAUGAGGCGAACCGGGGGAACUGAAACAUCUAAGUACCCCGAGGAAAAGAAAUCAACCGAGAUUCCCCCAGUAGCGGCGAGCGAACGGGGAGGAGCCCAGAGCCUGAAUCAGUGUGUGUGUUAGUGGAAGCGUCUGGAAAGGCGCGCGAUACAGGGUGACAGCCCCGUACACAAAAAUGCACAUGCUGUGAGCUCGAUGAGUAGGGCGGGACACGUGGUAUCCUGUCUGAAUAUGGGGGGACCAUCCUCCAAGGCUAAAUACUCCUGACUGACCGAUAGUGAACCAGUACCGUGAGGGAAAGGCGAAAAGAACCCCGGCGAGGGGAGUGAAAAAGAACCUGAAACCGUGUACGUACAAGCAGUGGGAGCACGCUUAGGCGUGUGACUGCGUACCUUUUGUAUAAUGGGUCAGCGACUUAUAUUCUGUAGCAAGGUUAACCGAAUAGGGGAGCCGAAGGGAAACCGAGUCUUAACUGGGCGUUAAGUUGCAGGGUAUAGACCCGAAACCCGGUGAUCUAGCCAUGGGCAGGUUGAAGGUUGGGUAACACUAACUGGAGGACCGAACCGACUAAUGUUGAAAAAUUAGCGGAUGACUUGUGGCUGGGGGUGAAAGGCCAAUCAAACCGGGAGAUAGCUGGUUCUCCCCGAAAGCUAUUUAGGUAGCGCCUCGUGAAUUCAUCUCCGGGGGUAGAGCACUGUUUCGGCAAGGGGGUCAUCCCGACUUACCAACCCGAUGCAAACUGCGAAUACCGGAGAAUGUUAUCACGGGAGACACACGGCGGGUGCUAACGUCCGUCGUGAAGAGGGAAACAACCCAGACCGCCAGCUAAGGUCCCAAAGUCAUGGUUAAGUGGGAAACGAUGUGGGAAGGCCCAGACAGCCAGGAUGUUGGCUUAGAAGCAGCCAUCAUUUAAAGAAAGCGUAAUAGCUCACUGGUCGAGUCGGCCUGCGCGGAAGAUGUAACGGGGCUAAACCAUGCACCGAAGCUGCGGCAGCGACGCUUAUGCGUUGUUGGGUAGGGGAGCGUUCUGUAAGCCUGUGAAGGUGUACUGUGAGGUAUGCUGGAGGUAUCAGAAGUGCGAAUGCUGACAUAAGUAACGAUAAAGCGGGUGAAAAGCCCGCUCGCCGGAAGACCAAGGGUUCCUGUCCAACGUUAAUCGGGGCAGGGUGAGUCGACCCCUAAGGCGAGGCCGAAAGGCGUAGUCGAUGGGAAACAGGUUAAUAUUCCUGUACUUGGUGUUACUGCGAAGGGGGACGGAGAAGGCUAUGUUGGCCGGGCGACGGUUGUCCCGGUUUAAGCGUGUAGGCUGGUUUUCCAGGCAAAUCCGGAAAAUCAAGGCUGAGGCGUGAUGACGAGGCACUACGGUGCUGAAGCAACAAAUGCCCUGCUUCCAGGAAAAGCCUCUAAGCAUCAGGUAACAUCAAAUCGUACCCCAAACCGACACAGGUGGUCAGGUAGAGAAUACCAAGGCGCUUGAGAGAACUCGGGUGAAGGAACUAGGCAAAAUGGUGCCGUAACUUCGGGAGAAGGCACGCUGAUAUGUAGGUGAAGCGACUUGCUCGUGGAGCUGAAAUCAGUCGAAGAUACCAGCUGGCUGCAACUGUUUAUUAAAAACACAGCACUGUGCAAACACGAAAGUGGACGUAUACGGUGUGACGCCUGCCCGGUGCCGGAAGGUUAAUUGAUGGGGUCAGCGCAAGCGAAGCUCUUGAUCGAAGCCCCGGUAAACGGCGGCCGUAACUAUAACGGUCCUAAGGUAGCGAAAUUCCUUGUCGGGUAAGUUCCGACCUGCACGAAUGGCGUAAUGAUGGCCAGGCUGUCUCCACCCGAGACUCAGUGAAAUUGAACUCGCUGUGAAGAUGCAGUGUACCCGCGGCAAGACGGAAAGACCCCGUGAACCUUUACUAUAGCUUGACACUGAACAUUGAGCCUUGAUGUGUAGGAUAGGUGGGAGGCUUUGAAGUGUGGACGCCAGUCUGCAUGGAGCCGACCUUGAAAUACCACCCUUUAAUGUUUGAUGUUCUAACGUUGACCCGUAAUCCGGGUUGCGGACAGUGUCUGGUGGGUAGUUUGACUGGGGCGGUCUCCUCCUAAAGAGUAACGGAGGAGCACGAAGGUUGGCUAAUCCUGGUCGGACAUCAGGAGGUUAGUGCAAUGGCAUAAGCCAGCUUGACUGCGAGCGUGACGGCGCGAGCAGGUGCGAAAGCAGGUCAUAGUGAUCCGGUGGUUCUGAAUGGAAGGGCCAUCGCUCAACGGAUAAAAGGUACUCCGGGGAUAACAGGCUGAUACCGCCCAAGAGUUCAUAUCGACGGCGGUGUUUGGCACCUCGAUGUCGGCUCAUCACAUCCUGGGGCUGAAGUAGGUCCCAAGGGUAUGGCUGUUCGCCAUUUAAAGUGGUACGCGAGCUGGGUUUAGAACGUCGUGAGACAGUUCGGUCCCUAUCUGCCGUGGGCGCUGGAGAACUGAGGGGGCUGCUCCUAGUACGAGAGGACCGGAGUGGACGCAUCACUGGUGUUCGGGUUGUCAUGCCAAUGGCACUGCCCGGUAGCUAAAUGCGGAAGAGAUAAGUGCUGAAAGCAUCUAAGCACGAAACUUGCCCCGAGAUGAGUUCUCCCUGACUCCUUGAGAGUCCUGAAGGAACGUUGAAGACGACGACGUUGAUAGGCCGGGUGUGUAAGCGCAGCGAUGCGUUGAGCUAACCGGUACUAAUGAACCGUGAGGCUUAACCUU
RNAcentral lists this ribosomal RNA (2900 nucleotides) under Escherichia coli. Its description in RNAcentral is "bacterial LSU rRNA". It matches the Rfam family "Bacterial large subunit ribosomal RNA". The record is from RNAcentral. Lineage: Bacteria; Pseudomonadati; Pseudomonadota; Gammaproteobacteria; Enterobacterales; Enterobacteriaceae.